RNAcentral lists this ribosomal RNA (497 nucleotides) under uncultured bacterium. RNAcentral's name for it is "partial 16S ribosomal RNA". It matches the Rfam family "Bacterial small subunit ribosomal RNA", at positions 28 to 507 of the family's 1533-position model. The record is from RNAcentral.
GAUGAACGCUGGCGGCGUGCCUAAUACAUGCAAGUCGAGCGAACGGACGCGACGCUUGCUUCUCUGAUGUUAGCGGCGGACGGGUGAGUAACACGUGGAUCACCUACCUAUAAGACUGGGAUAACUUCGGGACACCGUAGCUAAUCCCGGAUAAUAUCUUGAACCGCAUGGUUCAAUAGUGAAAGACGGUCUUGCUGUCACUUAUAGAUGGAUCCGCGCUGCAUUAGCUAGUUGGUAAGGUAACGGCCUACCAAGGCAACGAUGCAUAGCCGACCGGAGAGGGUGAUCGGCGACACUGGAAGUGAGACGCGGUCCAGACGCCUGCGGGAAGGAGCAGUAGGCAAUCGUCCGCAAUAGGCGAGAGCCUGACGGAGCAACGCCGAGUGAGAGAUGAAGGUCUUCGGAUCGUAAAACUCUGUUAUGAGGUAAGAACAGAUGUGUAAGGAACUGUGCAGAGCGUGACGGUAACUAAUCAGAAAGCAACGGCUAACUACGUG